RNAcentral lists this long non-coding RNA (800 nucleotides) under Homo sapiens (human). RNAcentral's name for it is "novel transcript". The record is from RNAcentral. Lineage: Eukaryota; Metazoa; Chordata; Mammalia; Primates; Hominidae.
CCUUCCAUUUGGACAUCAAACAAGAGAAGAAGGACCUUUAAUGAAAUAACUUACAUUUUUUCUACCAAUAUCCCAUCAGCCGAAACUACUCUCUCUCCCCACUCCUCCAACACUCUGGAAUAUAAAACAGAUUUAUGAGUAACCACCACUCUGUUAGGUGCACUUUGAAUUUAGUUCUUUCAAAGAGAAACGGGAAUGGGACUGUAGCCACCUCAAGAAAUGAUACUGGCAAAAGACACAUUUGGUAUUCCUAUUUUAUUGCCACAAUAUGCUGAAUUUUGUCUAUAUUAAGGAAAAGGUUUCAGCCAACAACCUGCGUCAACAACCACACAUGUGAGGAAAGAUGUCUUCUGAAGAUUCCAGCCUCCAGCCAGCAAGCCUUUCCAAGUAUAACCCUAGGACACAAAUCAAAAUUACUCAGAAUUUGAAGAGCCAGGAAAAUAUCAACUUGAGUGGGAAAAGGCAAUCAACAUAUGCCCUUUAUUGUGCAAAACUCGGGUAACAGGUAAACAAGAUUAACAGGGACCGCUAGGAUCAAGAAAUGGAAGAUGCCUCCCUACAUACAUCUGAGAUGAAUCCACAAAGAUAUCAAUCAAACGUCAUCGUAAUGAAGAGAUCCCAUCCUUCAUGGUCACACUCACAGCAAUAUUUCAUCUACUCCUCUCUCCUUCAUCUGUUGUCUGUCUUUUCCGUGACUUUUCCUUCAACCUUCCUGUUUUUGAAUGCAUUUUGAUGUUAUCAUAUAGCAUAAUAGCUCUAUGUCUCCUUCACUCUAUAUAAAGCUCUUCAGCAACGGGAAA